UGAGGGCAUCUAUGAAAUAAUUCUUUGAAUCUUUCUCACACCUCAUAUAAGGACUCGUCAUCCAAUUAUUGAAAAGUGGUGAUCUCAUUUC
This is a small nucleolar RNA of Gossypium arboreum, 91 nucleotides long. It matches the Rfam family "Plant small nucleolar RNA R71", at positions 10 to 100 of the family's 107-position model. From Rfam's summary of the family: R71 is a member of the C/D box family of snoRNAs containing the C (UGAUGA) and D (CUGA) box motifs. Multiple nearly identical copies of this snoRNA have been identified in Arabidopsis, and it is thought to function as a 2'-O-ribose methylation guide for 18S ribosomal RNA. Lineage: Eukaryota; Viridiplantae; Streptophyta; Magnoliopsida; Malvales; Malvaceae. The record is from Rfam.